Molecule: ribosomal RNA, 603 nt
Filed under: uncultured marine eukaryote
Lineage: Eukaryota
Description: bacterial SSU rRNA
Rfam family: Eukaryotic small subunit ribosomal RNA
Source: RNAcentral
GGUUGAAAGGAUCGUAGUUGGAUUUCUGCCGAGGACAGUCGGUCCGCCUUUGCGGGUGAGCAUCUGAAUGGCCCUGGGCAUAUUUUCUGAAGGCUGCUCUGCAUUUCAUUGUGUGGAACGGUACUCGGGACCUGUACUUUGACGAAAUUCCAGUGUUUCAGGCAUGCGCUUGUGGUGAACACAUUCGCAUGGAAUUAUAAGAUUAGGAUUCGUGGCAUAGUUAGUUGGUUUGUGUGCCAUAGGUAAUGAUUAAUAGGUAUAGUUGGGGGCAUUCGUAUUUAAUUGUCAGAGGUGAAGCCCUUGGAUUUGUUAAAGACGAACUAGUGCGAAAGCAUUCGCCAAGGAUGUUUUCAUUGAUCAAGAACGAAAGUGCGGGGAUCGAAGACGAUCAGAUACAGUCGUAGUCUUAACCAUAAACCAUGCCGACUAGAGUUUGGGGGCCGUUAGUUUUAUGACUCCUGCGGCACCUUGUGAGAAAUCAAAGUCUUUGGGUUCUGGGGGGAGUAUCGUCGCAAGGCUGAAACUUAAAGGAAGUGACGGAAGGGCACCGCACGGAUUGGAGCCUGCGGCUUAAUUUGACUCAACACGGGGAAAACGCACCAA